Non-coding RNA from Potamilus streckersoni, 72 nucleotides. NCBI's taxonomy places the organism in Eukaryota, Metazoa, Mollusca, Bivalvia, Unionida, Unionidae. The record is from the annotation of a GenBank genome assembly.
GCUCCGGUGGCCUAGUGGUUUGAGCGUCCGCCUAUGAUGCGGAAGUCGUGGGUUCGAUCCCCAGUUGAGUCA